Molecule: long non-coding RNA, 198 nt
Organism: Humulus lupulus (European hop)
Lineage: Eukaryota; Viridiplantae; Streptophyta; Magnoliopsida; Rosales; Cannabaceae
Exons: 3
Source: RefSeq, a predicted model, not a curated record
UGGAUUUUUUCCUGAAUGGUGUCGAUGAGGCUUUGAUUAGUGCUUUUCUAGUGUUACUGAGAGCCAAAGGAGAGACUUUCGAGGAAGCUGUAGGUUCUCUACUGAAGAAUUUUUGGGGGUGGUGAUGGAGCAAACACAGUUAACAUUUUGACUGGAGCUUCAAUACUUGCUGUAGCUUGUGGUGCCAAAAUUGCAAAG